Molecule: ribosomal RNA, 28 nt
Filed under: Corallizoanthus tsukaharai
Lineage: Eukaryota; Metazoa; Cnidaria; Anthozoa; Zoantharia; Parazoanthidae
Also listed under: 1 other name
Description: partial 28S ribosomal RNA
Source: RNAcentral
GACCUCAGAUCAGGCAAGGCUACCCGCU